GUAUACGGCCAUACCACGUUGAAAGCACCGGUUCUCGUCCGAUCACCGAAGUUAAGCAACGUCGGGCUCGGUUAGUACUUGGAUGGGUGACCGACUGGGAACAGCGGGUACUGUAGACA
This 119-nucleotide ribosomal RNA is filed under the name Gigantopelta aegis. The record is from RNAcentral. Lineage: Eukaryota; Metazoa; Mollusca; Gastropoda; Neomphalida; Peltospiridae.